CCCCAGGCCCAAUAUAUAUACUUCUUAAAAUAUUGACAUAUAAAAAGUAUUAAUCUUUAGAGAUUGUAAAAAUUCUAACUGUUGGAUUCUACAAGGCAUUAACAUCAUAAGUGCUCUAAUAAAUUUUUGUCAAAAAUCAAUCAUUAAUAUUCUAAAAUGUAGAUAAAUAAUACACGUCUAGCAGUUUUCAAAGUCAUGCUAAUUCAUCAUGCUUUCGCUUUCAAAUAGCUUUUUAAGAGCCCUCUGCUUAUUCCAGUCCCCCCCCUUUAAAAUCUUUUAAAAUUAUUAAUAACCUAUUAACAUUGAGCACUUCAUUAAAAUCCAAAAAAUAUGAGGGAGUACAUGUCUUUGUCCUUGACCUUUAGAAACCUCAAAUAUAGCUUGGUAUUGCUGUUUUUAACAUUUUCUGGAGCAUUUAGGAUUCACUUAGAAAUAAGCCUUUUGGGAGAAAAAUGUAUCUAACACCACUCACUCUCUUUUUUUCCACUGGCUACUUCUAUUUUUCCCCCUUUCAUUUCCCUAGACUUCUCAAUGCUUUUUUAUAAAGGCGCUUGAGUUCUGUUUCUCAACAGCUCCCUCAUUUAUUGCAUGAUUCACACAGUCACUGGAACAUUAUAGGUUCUUAAUAAAAUUUUUGAAUGAUUGAAAGAGAGAAAAGUAUUUUACCUGUGAUAUAUUGAUAUUUAAAUAAACUAAAACACUUAAAGGAAAACAUUUUGCUGGAACCAAAUACUCUUCGGUGUACAAUGAAUUACAAUUUUUUAAAUUGAAUUGAUCACCAUUGUUCAAACAUGCAGUUAUCAUUCUGUUGUUGCUUUCCUUCAACGUAUUUUUCCUUUUUCUCUUAAUGCUUAAAUUGAGCCUCCUCUCCUGUCCACUGGCUUAAGAAAUACAGAUGAAAUUGUGGUUUUUAAUUUUGUUACUUAAAUUUCCUUCCAUAGUUCCCUAAAUGACUAACCCAACUGUUUUCAUUUCUUGCAGUUUACUUUCUCAUCCAUACAUUAAAACAAAUCUUAAUUAUUAAUGUUACUCAGUCUAUCUUUACAUUUUUAUAUGAUUUCUACAUACAUUUGAAUGAGCUUUCCUAUUAAAAUUGUAAUAUUAACUUUGAAGGUCUUGUUUUGAGAUUAGCAGUGGGGUAGAGCGCUGUGUUGGUAUCAAAAGUCUCUGAUCAACCAACUCAUUACCUGUAAGAUUUUGGAUAAGUCACAAAGUUUCUCUUCUUCUACCCCAAAUGAUAACAGGUAUUUGAAUAGCUUGCAGUUAUACUCAAUAUAAAGACAUAAAAGUGAUAUUGCUAUUAUUUUUAGUAUCACUAGUAUUAAGAGCAAACAUUCUUGAUAAUUGUGUAGAAGUACAAAAGAGGCUACAUUGAACACAUAUUUGCAUUGUUUUAUUUCUCUACCAACAACCUUGCAAUGGCUUCCUUUUGUUCUCAGAAUAAAAUGCAAGCACCCAUUAUUUGGCCUUGGUUUACCUUUUCAGCCUUCCUUUCCACUUACUCUUGAGACAUUAAGUUUUGUAUUCACUGUCCUUCAUUCAUUAUCUCAAUAGCUAUGCUUCGCUCUCUCAGGGCCUUCACACAUUCUACAGUCUUAGCUUGGCACACUUCUCCUAUUUCGUGUUUCAGAUUAAAUGGUGCACCUUGGGGGAAACUUUCUUAAUCACUCUCCAUUAACGUAGGUCCCCGUAUUGCAUACUUUCAGUGCACUCAGUACCUUUUCUAUGUAGCACUUUUCACACUGUUUAAACAUCUGUUUAAAGACUGUACACCCACUAGAUGGAAAAUUGUUGUAAGAUAUACAGACAUUGUCUUGUUACCACCACUUGCCUAACUUCUACAAACUCAACAAUUAUCUGUGGAAACAAGCUAAUACAGAUGAAAUGAAUAAUUGCAAAUUUGCUCUGAAAUAAGAAGAGAAAGCACUUUAAGUGUUCCUUGAGCGUGAUAAUGUGGAAGAAAUUAGGCAUUUGUAGCCCUCCGGAUCCACCUCUGACAUGAUAUAUUUUCCUUUUUACCACCUUGCAGGAGGUGUCUUUUCCUUUUAUUUUUCUGGUAUAGGCAAUUCGGACUCAUUUCACAAAGUUUAGAAAAAAAAGAAAAA
Molecule: long non-coding RNA, 2105 nt
Organism: Macaca fascicularis (crab-eating macaque)
Lineage: Eukaryota; Metazoa; Chordata; Mammalia; Primates; Cercopithecidae
Source: Ensembl